Molecule: long non-coding RNA, 242 nt
Filed under: Carica papaya (papaya)
Lineage: Eukaryota; Viridiplantae; Streptophyta; Magnoliopsida; Brassicales; Caricaceae
Description: long non-coding RNA (CPAP_LNC014037)
Source: RNAcentral
AUCGGUUACAGGGCUGGACCCAAAAAGCCCUUGUUGGGACUUUAUCGAUGGGCUUAAGCCUAACAUCGGAGACAGGAUACAAAUGUUCAAGCCUAGGAACCCUGAAGGAAGUAAUUAGGUUGGCUCAAAUAAAUGAGGAAUAACUGGCCCAACAGACAAGGAUCCAACGGGUCGGACGAAACCCAUUUUUUGCCUCAGCAACUAGCCCUCCUUAAAACCCCGCACUUGAAGGAGGUGAGUCG